This 590-nucleotide ribosomal RNA is filed under the name uncultured marine eukaryote. RNAcentral describes it as "SSU rRNA". It matches the Rfam family "Eukaryotic small subunit ribosomal RNA", at positions 1 to 598 of the family's 1831-position model. The record is from RNAcentral.
UACCUGGUUGAUCCUGCCAGUAGUCAUAUGCUUGUCUCAAAGACUAAGCCAUGCAUGUCUAAGUAUAAAUGCUAUACAAUGAAACUGCGAAUGGCUCAUUAAAACAGUUAUAGUUUAUUUGGUAAUCGAAUUUACAUGGAUAACCGUGGUAAUUCUAGAGCUAAUACAUGCUGUGAAGCCCGACUUCUGGAAGGGCCGUAUUUAUUAGAUAACAGACCAAUAUUCCUCGUGUCUAUUGUGGUGAAUCAUAGUAACUAAUCGGAUCGUAUGGGCUUCGCCCUCGACAAACCAUUCAAGUUUCUGCCCCAUCAGCUUUCGAUGGUAGUGUAUUGGACUACCAUGGCUUUCACGGGUAACGGAGGAUUAGGGUUCGAUUCCGGAGAGGGAGCCUGAGAAACGGCUACCACAUCUAAGGAAGGCAGCAGGCGCGUAAAUUACCCAAUUCUGACUCAGAGAGGUAGUGACAAGAAAUAACGGACCGGGGCCUUACGGCUUCGGGAUUGCAAUGAGCCGAAUUUACACCCCUUAGCGAAGAUCGAUUGGAGGGCAAGUCUGGUGCCAGCAGCCGCGGUAAUUCCAGCUCCAAUAGC